This 221-nucleotide long non-coding RNA is filed under the name Elaeis guineensis (African oil palm). RNAcentral describes it as "long non-coding RNA (EGUI_LNC076849)". The record is from RNAcentral. Lineage: Eukaryota; Viridiplantae; Streptophyta; Magnoliopsida; Arecales; Arecaceae.
UCUGGUUGAAGACGUAAAACUUAGCACUUGUUGGGAGGCAACCCAAUGAUUUUAUAUUUUUUUUUACAUUACUGUAGCUGCAGGAAUUUAGAAUAAGAGCCUAUUAAUCAAUGAAGCUAUCUUCAACUUCUGAAGCAAAAUUAUCCCAGGUGCACUCUCUCCUUUUAUUUUCUUUGCUUUCCUACUCCAUUGAGGACAAUGUAGAUUAAGUUGGGGGGGGA